This is a long non-coding RNA of Sciurus carolinensis (gray squirrel), 1732 nucleotides long. RefSeq lists it as uncharacterized. The record is from RefSeq and is a predicted model, not a curated record. NCBI's taxonomy places the organism in Eukaryota, Metazoa, Chordata, Mammalia, Rodentia, Sciuridae. The transcript is spliced from 4 exons.
AGAGUCAUGGUCGAGUGCAUCUAGAGCUGCGCAGGGACGGGCUCCUGGGUCCCCUCUCCAGGCAGCAUGCCAUCGAGUUCGUGGCUCGGACUGGGGGAGGAAGAGGAAGCAGAUGCCCUGAGAGUGGGGGUGUGGGCACGUAGGUUGUGAAACACCCAGAGAAACCUCCAAGCCAGCAAAGAAGAUUUGGUUUCUGGAAUUUGGAAUUCAAAGUUUUUCAGACUCAACAUUUCUGUGACUAGAAGGUCCUUUCUCAAGAAGUAGCCACAGCUUCAGAGUCAGAAAAGUGACCUCAUCCUUGGAACAGCAUGGCCUGGAGAUGAUCCUCUAUGUGAUGUAUAACUGCUUAUGGCCUCAAGGGUCAUUAUCUUGUCAUUAAGUCUCCUAGGAGCUAAUGUCAUCACAAAUGGGAGCUAUGCACUCUUCAUCACUUUUUUCACCUGGGGAUGAUCUUCAGUUACAAGCAGUACAUAUUAUAAUGAGGAUUAUUUUAAUUUUAGGAGACAAAGAAGAAAUGUUUUUCUGUUAAAAAACUGGAAAAGAUGGAAACUGAUAACAACUUUAUUCAAAGUCACCUACAAACCUGUCACUUAAACAUGACCAGAGUUUUAGGAAGUCUUCCAGUUCUUGGAAGUGAAUGGUUGGGAAGGCAAAUCUUUAGUAUGACAAACAGACUCCCCUCCUAUGCCGGUGCCCUGUGUCAAUCUCUCUUAUAUGACCGCUGCCUUUUACUAAGUUCUUGGCACAAAAGUCAGUAGACUUAUGUUUUAGUUUUUAUCUUCAAUUUCUGGGAAGUCUCUCUCUCUCUCUCUCUCUCUCUCUCUCUCUCUCUCUCUCUUUAAGAAAAAAAGAAAAGACAUGAAAAAUCAUGCCAAGGAGUUUGGACUUUUCUCCCAUCAGGGACUGGGAACCCUUGAAGGAUUAAAAUUGGUUGACUCAUCCAAACUGAUUUGUGCAGAGGAAGAUUCCCCGGAGGCAGCGAUGCAUGAAUUAAGUGAAUGAACAUUUUCAGGUACCCGGGGAAUCCUAAGGGAAGCUCAGCUUUUACUUCUUGAAUUUUAUAGUCCUGACAGACUCUGUGGUUAUUGAAAACAGAGAGCUGAGUCCAUGACAAUGAAGAGAUGUAAGGAGAGACUUUGGGUAAGUCCCUGUCUCUCGGGACCUCAGUUUCCUUAACCACCAACAAGGAAAGGAUCUCUGAAGUUUUCUUGCCUUCUAACAUUGGAGGAUAAGACUGAGUGCCUAAGGAAAUAUUCUUAAAGUGACACAACCUGAUUUCCUCCCUCCAAUUUCUUCUUCUGACUAAGAUGGACAAAUGCAUAAGGUGCUCGGAACGUGGAUCAUAAGAGGAGCUACUCAGUGGGAAUAGUAGAGUCACCAGAGGAAUGUAAUCUCAGUAUCUGACAAAGUCGAGCCUCUGUACAAACCUUGAACUAUUUAUGUUCAUAUAGGCAUGAGAGAAAUAGAUUCCUAUCUUGUUUAAAACAUUAUUGCUUUUGAUUUACUAUUAUUACAGCUGAAUCUUACACGUGGGAAACACUUAAAAACAGCACAUGACCUUCAUAGUUUUUUCUUUAGAAAAACAUCCAUUAAAAGUAUUUUUGAACCUGGGUCCAGUAAACAUCACAAUCACAUACAUCGGUCUCGUGUUGGGCAGGAGGGACCGAACCCAGUUGGUCAUUUCUUCAUUUUUUAGCAACACCAGUAAUUUUUGUAUAAAUACAGGGCUUAC